RNAcentral lists this ribosomal RNA (486 nucleotides) under uncultured bacterium. Its description in RNAcentral is "partial 16S ribosomal RNA". It matches the Rfam family "Bacterial small subunit ribosomal RNA", at positions 30 to 507 of the family's 1533-position model. The record is from RNAcentral.
AUUGAACGCUGGCGGCAUGCCUUACACAUGCAAGUCGAACGGCAGCACGGGUGCUUGCACCUGGUGGCGAGUGGCGAACGGGUGAGUAAUACAUCGGAACAUGUCCUGUAGUGGGGGAUAGCCCGGCGAAAGCCGGAUUAAUACCGCAUACGAUCCACGGAUGAAAGCGGGGGACCUUCGGGCCUCGCGCUAUAGGGUUGGCCGAUGGCUGAUUAGCUAGUUGGUGGGGUAAAGGCCUACCAAGGCGACGAUCAGUAGCUGGUCUGAGAGGACGACCAGCCACACUGGGACUGAGACACGGCCCAGACUCCUACGGGAGGCAGCAGUGGGGAAUUUUGGACAAUGGGCUAAAGCCUGAUCCAGCAAUGCCGCGUGUGUGAAGAAGGCCUUCGGGUUGUAAAGCACUUUUGUCCGGAAAGAAAUCCUUGACUCUAAUACAGUCGGGGGAUGACGGUACCGGAAGAAUAAGCACCGGCUAACUACGUG